UUUCCUACGGGGCGCAGCAGUGAGGAAUAUUGGUCAAUGGGCUUACGCCUGAACCAGCCAAGUCGCGUGAGGGAAGACUGCCCUAUGGGUUGUAAACCUCUUUUGUCAGGGAGCAACGCCGGCUACGUGUAGCCGGACUGAGAGUACCUGAAGAAAAAGCAUCGGCUAACUCCGUGCCAGCAGCCGCGGUAAUACGGAGGAUGCGAGCGUUAUCCGGAUUUAUUGGGUUUAAAGGGUGCGCAGGCGGAAUGUCAAGUCAGUGGUAAAAUUUCGGGGCUGAACACAGUAGUGCAGUUGAAACUGGG
RNAcentral lists this ribosomal RNA (305 nucleotides) under uncultured bacterium. RNAcentral's name for it is "bacterial SSU rRNA". It matches the Rfam family "Bacterial small subunit ribosomal RNA", at positions 335 to 637 of the family's 1533-position model. The record is from RNAcentral.